RNAcentral lists this ribosomal RNA (429 nucleotides) under Bacteroidota bacterium. Its description in RNAcentral is "Bacteroidetes bacterium partial 16S ribosomal RNA". It matches the Rfam family "Bacterial small subunit ribosomal RNA", at positions 355 to 776 of the family's 1533-position model. The record is from RNAcentral. Lineage: Bacteria; Pseudomonadati; Bacteroidota.
UAGGGAAUCUUCCGCAAUGGACGCAAGUCUGACGGAGCAACGCCGCGUGAGUGAAGAAGGAUUUCGGUUCGUAAAACUCUGUUGUUAGAGAAGAACAGCGAAUAGAGUAACUGUUAUGCGUGUGACGGUAUCUAACCAGAAAGCCACGGCUAACUACGUGCCAGCAGCCGCGGUAAUACGUAGGUGGCAAGCGUUGUCCGGAUUUAUUGGGCGUAAAGCGAGCGCAGGCGGUCAAUUAAGUCUGAUGUGAAAGCCCCCGGCUCAACCGGGGAGGGUCAUUGGAAACUGGUUGACUUGAGUGCAGAAGAGGAGAGUGGAAUUCCAUGUGUAGCGGUGAAAUGCGUAGAUAUAUGGAGGAACACCAGUGGCGAAGGCGACUCUCUGGUCUGUAACUGACGCUGAGGCUCGAAAGCGUGGGUAGCAAACAGG